GCUUAGCCCCGAUGGAAGGGAAAAUCCUUUUGUCUCGUUUUUUGGAACGAGACAAAAGAUUUGGAAUGACAGCGGGAUUAGCU
This 83-nucleotide small RNA is filed under the name Flavobacterium swingsii. RNAcentral's name for it is "Flavo-1 RNA". It matches the Rfam family "Flavo-1 RNA". Lineage: Bacteria; Pseudomonadati; Bacteroidota; Flavobacteriia; Flavobacteriales; Flavobacteriaceae. The record is from RNAcentral.